Molecule: non-coding RNA, 22 nt
Filed under: Arabidopsis thaliana (thale cress)
Lineage: Eukaryota; Viridiplantae; Streptophyta; Magnoliopsida; Brassicales; Brassicaceae
Source: RNAcentral
CUAUAGUCAAAGUCGUUGUAGC